UACAGAGGGUGCAAGCGUUGCUCGGAAUUAUUGGGCGUAAAGGGCAGGUAGGUGGUCUCGUUUGUCCAAGGUGAAAUCCCUGGGCUUAACUCAGGAAGUGCCUUGGAAACGGCGAGACUGGAGUACUGGAGAGGGUCGUAGAAUUCCCGGUGUAGCGGUGAAAUGCGUAGAGAUCGGGAGGAAUACCAGAGGCGAAGGCGGCGACCUGGACAGUUACUGACACUCAACUGCGAAAGCGUGGGGAG
This 245-nucleotide ribosomal RNA is filed under the name uncultured bacterium. RNAcentral's name for it is "partial 16S ribosomal RNA". It matches the Rfam family "Bacterial small subunit ribosomal RNA", at positions 524 to 768 of the family's 1533-position model. The record is from RNAcentral.